Molecule: ribosomal RNA, 252 nt
Filed under: uncultured Actinomycetales bacterium
Lineage: Bacteria; Bacillati; Actinomycetota; Actinomycetes; Actinomycetales
Description: partial 16S ribosomal RNA
Rfam family: Bacterial small subunit ribosomal RNA
Source: RNAcentral
CUUGCAGGGUACUCGAGUGGCGAACGGGUGAGUAACACGUGGGUGAUCUGCCCUGCACUUCGGGAUAAGCUUGGGAAACUGGGUCUAAUACCGGAUAGGAACCAUCUUUAGUGUGGUGGUUGGAAAGUUUUUUCGGUGUAGGAUUAGCUCGCGGCCUAUCAGCUUGUUGGUGGGGUAAUGGCCUACCAAGGCGGCGACGGGUAGCCGGCCUGAGAGGGUGUACGGCCACACUGGAACUGAGACACGGUCCAG